This 429-nucleotide ribosomal RNA is filed under the name Gemmatimonadota bacterium. RNAcentral's name for it is "Gemmatimonadetes bacterium partial 16S ribosomal RNA". It matches the Rfam family "Bacterial small subunit ribosomal RNA", at positions 355 to 776 of the family's 1533-position model. Lineage: Bacteria; Pseudomonadati; Gemmatimonadota. The record is from RNAcentral.
UAGGGAAUCUUCGGCAAUGGACGAAAGUCUGACCGAGCAACGCCGCGUGAGUGAAGAAGGUUUUCGGAUCGUAAAACUCUGUUGUUAGAGAAGAACAAGGACGUUAGUAACUGAACGUCCCCUGACGGUAUCUAACCAGAAAGCCACGGCUAACUACGUGCCAGCAGCCGCGGUAAUACGUAGGUGGCAAGCGUUGUCCGGAUUUAUUGGGCGUAAAGCGAGCGCAGGCGGUUUCUUAAGUCUGAUGUGAAAGCCCCCGGCUCAACCGGGGAGGGUCAUUGGAAACGGGGAGACUUGAGUGCAGAAGAGGAGAGUGGAAUUCCAUGUGUAGCGGUGAAAUGCGUAGAUAUAUGGAGGAACACCAGUGGCGAAGGCGGCUCUCUGGUCUGUAACAGACGCUGAGGCUCGAAAGCGUGGGGAGCAAACAGG